This 2355-nucleotide long non-coding RNA is filed under the name Panax ginseng (ginseng). Its description in RNAcentral is "long non-coding RNA (PGIN_LNC018264)". The record is from RNAcentral. Lineage: Eukaryota; Viridiplantae; Streptophyta; Magnoliopsida; Apiales; Araliaceae.
UGGGACAUAGAUUCAUCAUUGUAUGCCUUAUGGAUACAUAAGUUGUGGAAUCAUGAACAAGAAACAAUAUUACCCAACACCAGUCUAGCAUCAGUUCUGGCAUUAUCUGACUUGUAAUGUAGCAUCAAGUUUAACUGCCAACUGACCAACAAAGAUUCAAAAUUGAUCUCCCAAUGCUUGCAGCACAAAGACCUUGUAAAACUGAAAAAUCACCUGGAAAAAGUUAUGCUAUAUUUUGUAUAAACAUCAAAAUUGUCCCCUCAAUGAAUAGACUUUAAAGUUGAAAAUAAAAUUUGUUUUAACCAUACUUUUCAAUUAGUGAUUGUGAAAAAAUAUGAUAUAUAUGGGACAGUUACAUAUGUAUACAAGUGAAAAAAAUAUGAUUAUCAGCUCCUAGUCAUCCUUUCUAAGCCCAGAACUUCCAAAAUAGACUUAAUAAAAUAAUCCAACCGUCAUUUUUAUUAAACUUAAAGAAGGAAGCAAAUGGUGCAAAGCCACAUUAGUGUUCUGGUAAAAGUAUGCCAAAAAAAGUAAGUAAUAUCAGAAGGCUGAGUAACAAUAAAGUAGUCACCAACAAUAUUAGAAAGGGUAGACAAGUUUUUCAUAGCAUAGUAAAAAAUAUUCUGGAAUCUUAAGAAAAUAAAUGACCCAGCACUUGAAAUUCAUAAAGAACAAGAAAACUUGGGUGGGGGCACAUUAGUUUACUUAGAACAUGGGUAAACCUACUAGUUCCUCAGUUAGAAAGACUUUCACAUAUAUUUCACAUAUUGGCUCAUCCGGAGUUGAGAUAGGUCCUGAGAAGACGAAGUUUUCCCGGAAUAGUAAACCCCAAAGUUGCUGACAGAGGUAAGCAGUUGCGCUAAACAACAAAUCUGUAGUUCUAACUUCUAAUGAGGAUGAAGACCUUGACAUCUCAAGAUAUAUGUAUAGCCGUGAUACUUAGCAUCGACUUCUGAGAAUUGGCAAGCACGACAGAGCAAUCAAAUUUGGCCCCAGCAGAAAACAUUCAAGAACAAAAUCUGCCACAGGAAAUAGCUUAACUCCCCCUUCUGAGCAGCCCUACUAAAGUAAUGUUAUGUAGAAACAGCAUGCACAUACUGACAUACAAAGAAGAGCUUACAACAACUAAUUCUGAAAAUUAUACUACAAUUUAUAAUCCAAAUCCAGGUUCCAAAAGAUCAAUUUUCCCCAGAUAAAUCUUGAUUAGCUCAGGAAGAUCAUUCUUAUACUUACUGACAAACCUAUCCAAGAAUCGCUUCUCAGGCUGCACUACAAAAGAAACUGGUUUCAAAGUUUUCUUUACCAAACCCUUGGACAUCAGGACUUUAAUCACACGGCAUCUUGGGAUAAUCCUCUUCUCCAAAUUAUAAAAGAGAACUGAAGGAGUUCUGGCAAUGACUGCAGCCUCCCAACCCAUUUUAUUAACAAGGACAUCCAUUGUCCUUGCUAUAUUCUCAUCGGUAAUAUACAUAAAAAAGGGAUGCUUCCUAAAUCCAAGUAAAAUCUCCUCAUCAGACAAACCCCAACUCCUAUAAAUCUACAUUCUGCAAUCCCAAGUAUCUUUACUUAAUCCACAUUUCACAUGCACUGCGAGGACAAAUAUAACUUGCAAAGGGUCAAACCCCAUUUUGAUAACAUCCUCGACAGAUCUCUUAAGCUUAACAUGACUUUGAUAUGCUACACAGGGGAAAUUCAUAAGCAUGAACAAAAUACGAGAUUGAGGCAACCCAACUCCUCUUAAAAAUUCCACAUUCAAAUCAACAGUCCCCGUAGACUUAGCAACACCUUUUUCAUUAUCACAAAGUAAACUUUUGAGGAUAUUAUAAACCGGGACUGUCUUUUUUUCUAGGAUUCUCGACAACAGAAUCGGAGUAUAUGAAAUUACUGCUGGAAUGUCAGUACCAGAGAUGCCUAUAGAGCUUAAAAAUUCAAUUUUGGGUAAAAGGGGUUUCUGGGUAUUAGCUGAUAGAACUUGAGGACUUGCUUUGACAAUUUUGGAGAUUUGAGUAUCAGUAAAUCCAUGAUUUCUUAGAAAUGUCAUAAUCCUCCCUGAUUUUUCUUGUUUUUUUCGCAGAUGAGGAAAAAUAGCAGGAAAAAAGACCGAUUGUAUGCGAUUCAUUUUGCAAUUGGAAAUUGUAUGAACUACCCACAAGUCUUCUUCUACAAAUAAAGAUUAACAUGAUUUAUGCAAAUGGGGAAGUUUAUAACGCAAUGUAUUUACUCACCGGUUCAGAUUUCUCAGUUGGGUGUGUUAUUCCCGUCGUUAGCUAAACGAAGCUCUCCUUCCUUCUAAAUUCUCACUAUCGCUCUCGCUCAGGCCCAAAGCCCUAGCCCUAAUGUCAUAGUAAAAUUAAU